This 35-nucleotide ribosomal RNA is filed under the name Rhynchostylis retusa. Its description in RNAcentral is "partial 26S ribosomal RNA". Lineage: Eukaryota; Viridiplantae; Streptophyta; Magnoliopsida; Asparagales; Orchidaceae. RNAcentral also lists the same sequence under 2 other names. The record is from RNAcentral.
GCGACCCCAGGAUGGGCGAGACCACCCGCCGAGUU